Molecule: small nucleolar RNA, 140 nt
Organism: Setaria italica (foxtail millet)
Lineage: Eukaryota; Viridiplantae; Streptophyta; Magnoliopsida; Poales; Poaceae
Rfam family: small nucleolar RNA snoR135
Source: Rfam
CCUGCAGGAAAGUGUGUAUCGGCUUUACGCUACUUUGAUGCGUCUUUUGCCGAAAGUGUUUCCUGCUAUAGCAAUCUGAGGAAAGUGGGCAGUUGGGUUAAGCAUAUCUGCUUUCUCCAACAAUCAUUUUCCUCUCAUGU